GAGAGAGAGAGAGAGAGAGAGAGAGAGAGAGAGAUGACAAGGCAAAACUGAAGGAUGCCAAGAGCCACCUACACCAAUCUCAGUGGUAUAUGGCUAAUUAAUCUCUCGGCAGGAGCGAAACGUCAAAAUUGCUGAACCACAGACCCAAGACGGCUAUGAGCAGGAAGUGAGGAGCAGGCAUGCACACACACAUGGUGAUUGGGGUAUGAAGAGCCAUCGAUCUUGAAGGAGCGGGCGUAAAGGCAGUAAUGAGGCCGUGGCUGUUGCCUUCAAAAACUGACUCCAACAUGAAAAGCAUUCAGAGAGGAUGUCAGGAGUCAGCGGACCCAACAACAAUGAGAGCACUUCUCCCUCUUCAUUGCUCAACAAAAACUUAACAUUAUCAGCCUCCAUAUCAUGUGCCAUUGUCUCUGACAUGAGCCCAUUUCACAUGAUAGCAGAGCCGCCGGGGCUCAAAUUAAACGCAGGGCUUGAACGUCGCGUGUCGAGAUUGACUUUAUCGCUGGAUCUCUUGAAUGAGAACGGCGACGGGUGUUAAUGGCCUAGAAAUGUCACUCAUGCAAAGUCCAUCCACGCAAGGCGGAUUUCCAGGGGGCCGAGGAAACAUGCCUGGGCGGAGAGAACGACUGCCGCAUUGAGUGGAACCUAUAAACACAAAGAUCACAUCUCAGCUGUCGCUGUGCUUAUCUGCUCCAAGAGUCUUUUGGGGGAAAGAAUGAAGAAAUGUCUCUUUUUUAUGUAUGUAUGCAUGACGAGUUUGUUUCAUGUACAUGUGUGUAGUCAAAGCUGUUUUGGGCAUUUGAACUGAUCACAUUGUUAGGUGUGCUCUUUUUGCUCUUAGUAAGCUUUUCAAUGUGUGUAAGGUAGAAUUUGAAUUCAGUCGUCUGCUUUCCACCGUUACAUAUUCGGCAGUAGUGCUGCAACUAUAGAUUAUGCUGUAUUAUUAAUGAAUCUGUAGAUUAUGUUGUUAAAAAUCAAGGUCAAUCUAAAUAAUCAGCAUUUUUUCGCAUUCAUUUCUAACACAAUCGAUGAAAAAAAUAUAUUAUUAAUAUUCUCAUCAUGGUUCUUUUAAUUAGCUAGUCUGCCCUGGUUGAAAUGCUGUCCUCUUCCUGAGUUAGAUUUGUGACUCACAAAGAUUACAGCCAAGCAAAAGGCCACAUCAGCAUAAUGGAUUUCAGAAAAACAGCACUCCACUCCUCACGUACAAGUGCACAUGGAGUAUUUUUUUUUCAAUGUCGAUUUUUUAGACAUUACAAUGACUUCCAUUUUUUUCAGGCAACUUACACUAAACUGUCCCCAAAUUAAAGGAUCUUCUGCUUCAAAGUCUUAAAUUGGUCUGUAACUGCAGACCUAAAUAUUCCUGACUGCUCGUAUUAGAGCAAAAAGAACAGCAAAUUUAAAUUUACUGCAGCUGGAAGCAAAGUGAAAUAAAAAGUAGGCAGACGGAAAUUUUUUAUUCCAUUAUUCCCAGCGGUACCACACCAUCCAACUUUCUCUGAUCGCACAUCACCCAUUAGGACCCAUUAAUCUGCCAUCCCGUAAAAUACACCUCGUCUUUUUUGCAUAAAACACACCCCCCACAGAUUCCCCCUCCGGCUCUGUGCACUUUAACAGCCACACAAGCAGAGGCAUAUUCUUUACCCCUCCUGAGUUGGCAGCAGGUAUGUGUGUGUGUGUGUGUGUGCGUGUAUGUGUGUGUAUGUGUGUGUGUGCGUGUGUGUGUGUGUAUGUGUGUGUGUGUGAUGCUAUGUUAUGGACACCUAAGGACGUAUUUCUGCCCAUUAAGCCAGAUUUACACCCUUCUCCUACCCCCUCUGUCCUCAGGCCAUUCUGCUGUCCAUUUUUUCCUCAUCCAUAUCGUUUCCUCGAUGAUGCUUCACCCAUCUGCCCUCCUAAUCUGUUCUAAUUUUCUCCUCUCCUCUCACAAACUCUUUAUGAGCCAUUACCUUCAUUAAUUGGUACCUUUUUAUGCCCCGUUCAUAACGAUCAGCCACAGCAUCAUUGUAAAGUAAAGGUGAUUAACUAAUCCUAAAUCCAACAUGUGUGGCUGUUAUUUCAGCUUCGACGUCAUAUUUCACUUUUAAAAACUGCUGACUAUACAGAGCGAUGAAUCACUGUGCCGCCGUCCAGAGAAUGACAAAAGUCUGAGGGCAGAAUAAACAAUCACCUUUGUCCAAAACGGAGUUGUGCUGGAUCAAGUAUGCUAAUAGAACAAUGAUGAAGAGCUUUCACCUUCAUUUUUACCCUGUCUCUCUCUCUCUCUCUCUCUCUCCUUCGCUCCGUCGCUCUCUUACCGAUUCCUCAUGCAUUAAACACAGAAUUUAACCUCCGCCUACAGACAGCAAUCUCUUUCUGUACCUGGCAAGCUCUCACCCACAUGCAGGUCCACCCAUGCACUCUCUGACGAGACAGAAGCUGAGGCAGAAAGGGGGAGAGAACCACUUCACUUUUAAACAUUAAAAAUAUAUACGACACAAACCACAGGCACAGCGGAAAUAGCUGUUCGGCCCUCUUAAGAUCACUGUAGCUUCGGCAGCGUCGGUCUCAUUUGCAAAUGAAAUUACUUUCUUAAAUAAAAGCUGUAGGUGUGUAGUCAUAGCAACGUAACACUUUGCUGAGAGAGGAUACUUUGUUUAUCUGGCACUGACAUUUCUCCCCCUGUUUUGAUCUGGAAGUGUUAAUGCAUAUGACUUUUUUUUAUAUUGGCAUAUUUAGAUUCAAGCAGUCUCUUUUGUUUUGUCUGCAUGUGUACAUGUAAAUCUUAUGUCUAGCAUAGAUAAUAUAUGAACAAAUACAGAUCAAAUAACCUCAAUCCAACUCGAAAUGAUGAUACAGAAUCAAACUCCUCUAACAGAUUACUUAACCUUGUAGUUCUUUAGCCUUACAGCCCAUGGAGAAUGACCUCAAGUGCAACAGCUUGUGUGAGGGUAUAGGUUCGUUCAUUAUUAAGCACCACAUUCAGGGCAAUAAAAAAAAAGUGGCUGCAAUCUAUAGUCCCCAUAUAAUGCCACAUGGAUUGGGGCCUAAAAAUUGACACAGAAUUAGACGAAGGCUAUAAUUGAACCCAUCGCUCCAUCUGCCUGUGAUACUGGAAACUUCAUUUGCAUUUUAAUUGCGAUCAAUAAAGUGUCAUACGAGCAUAUCUGUCCAAACUAUGAUCUAUGACGAUGGAAAAUGUCACAAAAGACUGAGAAAACCUGAUAAUAUCUGCGAAACAGCAGUGGAGGGGUGGUGCAGGAGUGGUUACCAGGGGUCCUUUUGGAGUGUCCAAACGUCAACCUUUGGAGAGCGCCUCGACAUAUCCUUAGAUAGACAUGUGUAAAAGUAUUCUUAUCAAAUCUGAACUGAGACUAGGUAAGGCUUUAUGCUGUGGUGUUUUUUAGCUAAUAGGUUCCAGCAACAGUCAGUGCAGACAUUCAAUUACAACCAAAAAAUAUCAGGCGAGAAAAAAAAUCCUUCAAAUUCAGGCUUUUCAAACUUGGGUAACUCAAUGCAAGUACUGUAGCACGUAACACUGAUUCUGACCGUUAGGCAUAAACUUCAGAGUGUUACAUUUAUUUUGGGUAUGCUUUGGACAGGCAUUUUGACCAAUUCCACAGGAAUGGCAAAGGGUUGGAAGUUAUCGGCCAUAAAAGAUUUAGAAAUGGUCAAC
Long non-coding RNA from Scophthalmus maximus (turbot), 3652 nucleotides. RefSeq lists it as uncharacterized. The transcript is spliced from 3 exons. The record is from RefSeq and is a predicted model, not a curated record. NCBI's taxonomy places the organism in Eukaryota, Metazoa, Chordata, Actinopteri, Pleuronectiformes, Scophthalmidae.